UGUCUUCGGGGCGGAGUGAGAUUCUCCACCGGCGGUGAUUGCUUCGUGCAUAAGUCCGCGAGCUUUAUAGCUGAGUCUGUGAAAUUCAGACACCGACGGUAUAGUCCGGAUGGUAGAAGAUG
This 122-nucleotide non-coding RNA is filed under the name uncultured Ruminococcus sp. RNAcentral's name for it is "FMN riboswitch (RFN element)". It matches the Rfam family "FMN riboswitch aptamer (RFN element)". Rfam says of the family: The RFN element is a highly conserved domain that is found frequently in the 5'-untranslated regions of prokaryotic mRNAs that encode for flavin mononucleotide (FMN) biosynthesis and transport proteins. This element is a metabolite-dependent riboswitch that directly binds FMN in the absence of proteins. The record is from RNAcentral. Lineage: Bacteria; Bacillati; Bacillota; Clostridia; Eubacteriales; Oscillospiraceae.